UCCUUAAACCAUUCAGAGGCCGCCUCUCAGACCCAGCCCUCGGACCUCAGCCAAUCACCGGACGCCAUGCAAAUCACCUCUUUCGCCCUCCAAACCGAGGUCCAGUUUAAAGGCAGUUUCUGCCGCCCCGCCCAUCUUAGUCCUUCCCUUCCCCCUUCCUCCUCCGCCUCCCACACAGCAGCUGCUUGGGAAGAGGGCAGUGCUGGGUGCUUCAUGCAUAUGCAGACAGAUCUAUCCUCCCCCUCCACCCCAUCCUCUCUCCCUCUCCUCCCGCCCAUCUUUGCCUCGCUCCCCAGCCCCCACCCUGCCGCCCACUAGUAUCUCCAAGUCUCCUCGACGUAUAGUUCCCAGCUCUGGUACAUGCAGCUGCUACCCACAAGUAUGCCCAGGCGCUCCAUAGGAGCCAGAGAGGGAGAGGGAGGAAACCUCUGCUUUUGAAAUCCGCUCGAAGGUCAAGUUUGUGGUUUACGGAGCGGGAGCCCGAGACACUGAAAAUGCUGUUGAGUCUGCAAGAAGACGGUGCAUGCAGGAAGAUGGUUUUGCCUUGGUUUUCUUCCACUAAACAGCAGAUUAAUUUCUCUGAAACACACAAAGUACCGGUCAUGUUUAAAGGCAGGGUGAUGAUAGAUGGUUCCGCGUGCGCACAGUUACAGAGCAUAUUUGUCUUGCACAUCAAGGUUCCUUAAGCCACAAAGCACUGGAGAGGAGAUCAAAGGGUGUUAUAUCUUCUUAGGAGCAGGAAGGUUGGGAAGUGCGGCUAGCAGUACGACCAGUGGCGCUGGACCUGCUUGAGGUGGGAAGUUAAAUGGUAGGUACGGAAACAUGACCUGGGACCUACGGAAAGGAAAAAUAAUUCUGUGAGAAGGCGAAUUUGCUAGUAUUAUGCAUACGCAGACUGUGACCAAGGCUCUUCCAAGCCGCCCUAAACAUUUUCAAGUUUUGAAUAACGCACUGAACUGACCUGGAUUCCUUUAAAAGUUGGGGAAAAUACCGUCGCGAAAACCGCGCUUUUAGAGUGCUUGGAGAUCCUCUUAGGAGGAACCGGAACUGUGGCGUGACCUUGUUUUAUAGAUCUACUUCUGCCCUGAAAUACCUUCAGGACUUUCUAGAGGAAAUUGCAGCAGGUUCCCCUUAAAUCUUACUCGGUGGACAAGUGAGGGCUUAGCAAAUUUAAACACGCACUUUGCUAAGAUUAUUUACCGAACACUUUUUUUUUUUUUUUUUUUUUUGAAUCGAGGGCGUUUUGUGUGCCGAGAACAGAGCAAUAUCUUCCAGGCAAAGCGCUUCACGUGGCUGGCAGUUCCCAGGUGCCACGGAAAUUAGGAAAAGAAACAGCAAGCAGCUCAGAACGGUUUCUGCCCUUGAGCUGCUCCUGCUCUAGCUGGAGGGAAAUAUGUAGGUGGUGCUUCCCAGCCCAACAGGAAACAGUUCAGAGAGCUCUUAGACUGCAGUGAACCGGCGGCGAGUUGGUACAUUCCUAUAGUGAAACAGGGCAGCAAUUAAGAGUGAAUGGACGAUCUUGAAGGCAGUGUUGGAUGAAAAAGCAAAUCACAAGAGAAUGUGAUAUUAAUGCAAUGUUAAUGUCUAUUAACAUAACACUGUAACAGACUACAAAAACACAGAAGUUGCAUGAUAGGAGGCAUAAAAUCGUGUCAGGGAAUGGGUGUGGAAACUGGAGGAAGGAGAGGACAUGUUUUAGUCAUAAAGAUUCGAGCUCUGAGUAAUGCUUAUUCCUUUUAAAGAGCUAGAAUAUGAGGAAACAUACUCAUGGGAAGGCUUUAUGGAAAAGCUGGCGCUGAUGCUAAAUUUAAAAU
This 1814-nucleotide long non-coding RNA is filed under the name Mus musculus (house mouse). RNAcentral's name for it is "long non-coding RNA chr13:84348091-84349905". The record is from RNAcentral. Lineage: Eukaryota; Metazoa; Chordata; Mammalia; Rodentia; Muridae.